UACGUAGGUGGCAAGCGUUGUCCGGAUUUACUGGGCGUAAAGAGCGCGCAGGCGGUCGUUCAAGUCGCGUGUGAAAGCCCCCGGCUCAACUGGGGAGGGUCACGCGAUACUGAUCGACUCGAAGGCAGGAGAGGGAAGUGGAAUUCCCGGUGUAGUGGUGAAAUGCGUAGAUAUCGGGAGGAACACCAGUGGCGAAGGCGGCAUCCUGGACCGGCAUUGACGCUGAGGAGCGAAAGCCAGGGGAGCAAACGGG
Molecule: ribosomal RNA, 253 nt
Filed under: uncultured bacterium
Lineage: Bacteria
Description: partial 16S ribosomal RNA
Rfam family: Bacterial small subunit ribosomal RNA
Source: RNAcentral